AGAGUUUGAUCAUGGCUCAGAUUGAACGCUGGCGGCAUGCCUUACACAUGCAAGUCGAACGGUAACGCGGGGGCAACCCUGGCGACGAGUGGCGAACGGGUGAGUAAAGCAUCGGAACGUGCCCAAUAGUGGGGGAUAGCCCGGCGAAAGCCGGAUUAAUACCGCAUACGACCUGAGGGUGAAAGCGGGGGAUCGCAAGACCUCGCGCUGAUGGAGCGGCCGAUGUCAGAUUAGGUAGUUGGUGGGGUAAAGGCUCACCAAGCCGACGAUCUGUAGCUGGUCUGAGAGGACGACCAGCCACACUGGGACUGAGACACGGCCCAGACUCCUACGGAAGGCAGCAGUGGGGAAUUUUGGACAAUGGGCGCAAGCCUGAUCCAGCCAUGGCCGCGUGCGGGAAGAAGGCCUUCGGGUUGUAAACCGCUUUUGUUCGGGAAGAAAUCCCUUGGGUUAAUACCUCGAGGGGAUGACGGUACCGGAAGAAUAAGCACCGGCUAACUACGUGCCAGCAGCCGCGGUAAUACGUAGGGUGCAAGCGUUAAUCGGAAUUACUGGGCGUAAAGCGUGCGCAGGCGGUUGUGCAAGACAGAUGUGAAAUCCCCGGGCUCAACCUGGGAACUGCAUUUGUGACUGCACGGCUAGAGUGCGGCAGAGGGGGAUGGAAUUCCGCGUGUAGCAGUGAAAUGCGUAGAUAUGCGGAGGAACACCGAUGGC
Molecule: ribosomal RNA, 714 nt
Filed under: uncultured bacterium
Lineage: Bacteria
Description: bacterial SSU rRNA
Rfam family: Bacterial small subunit ribosomal RNA
Source: RNAcentral